RNAcentral lists this small RNA (164 nucleotides) under pig gut metagenome. RNAcentral describes it as "Clostridiales-1 RNA". It matches the Rfam family "Clostridiales-1 RNA". The record is from RNAcentral.
GAUGCCAGGGUCAAAAGGUCAUGAUUUUCAUGCUUGCAUGAAAAAUCAUGACAUCUUGACCCGCUAAACAUGAGAAAGUAGCCAUUUUUCGAAGAAAAAUGAGCGGAUUUCGAAUGUUUUUCGGAUUUUGGGAGCGCGGGAGCGCGGAAAAAUCCGAAGGCAUC